CCUUACCCACCUUUGACAUGGCAGGAACUUACCAGAGAUGGUUUGGUGCUCGAAAGAGAACCUGCACACAGGUGCUGCAUGGCUGUCGUCAGCUCGUGUCGUGAGAUGUUGGGUUAAGUCCCGCAACGAGCGCAACCCUUGCCAUUAGUUGCUACGAAAGGGCACUCUAAUGGGACUGCCGGUGACAAACCGGAGGAAGGUGGGGAUGACGUCAAGUCCUCAUGGCCCUUAUAGGUGGGGCUACACACGUCAUACAAUGGCUGGUACAAAGGGUUGCCAACCCGCGAGGGGGAGCCAAUCCCAUAAAACCAGUCGUAGUCCGGAUCGCAGUCUGCAACUCGACUGCGUGAAGUCGGAAUCGCUAGUAAUCGUGGAUCAGCAUGUCACGGUGAAUACGUUCCCGGGUCUUGUACACACCGCCCGUCACACCAUGGGAGCGGGUCUCGCCAGAAGUAGGUAGCCUAACCGCAAGGAGGGCGCUUACCACGGCGGGGUUCGUGACUGGGGUGAAGUCGUAACAAGGUAAGCGUAGUGCU
This 536-nucleotide ribosomal RNA is filed under the name uncultured bacterium. RNAcentral describes it as "bacterial SSU rRNA". It matches the Rfam family "Bacterial small subunit ribosomal RNA", at positions 969 to 1509 of the family's 1533-position model. The record is from RNAcentral.